Molecule: ribosomal RNA, 89 nt
Filed under: Escherichia coli
Lineage: Bacteria; Pseudomonadati; Pseudomonadota; Gammaproteobacteria; Enterobacterales; Enterobacteriaceae
Description: partial 16S ribosomal RNA
Rfam family: Bacterial small subunit ribosomal RNA
Source: RNAcentral
AAAUUGAAGAGUUUGAUCAUGGCUCAGAUUGAACGCUGGCGGCAGGCCUAACACAUGCAAGUCGAACGGUAACAAGAAGCAGCUUGCUG